AUUGAACGCUGGCGGCAGGCCUAACACAUGCAAGUCGAGCGGAUGAAGGGAGCUUGCUCCUGGAUUCAGCGGCGGACGGGUGAGUAAUGCCUAGGAAUCUGCCUGGUAGUGGGGGAUAACGUCCGGAAACGGGCGCUAAUACCGCAUACGUCCUGAGGGAGAAAGUGGGGGACCUUCGGACCUCACGCUAUCAGAUGAGCCUAGGUCGGAUUAGCUAGUUGGUGGGGUAAAGGCCUACCAAGGCGACGAUCCGUAACUGGUCUGAGAGGAUGAUCAGUCACACUGGAACUGGAACACGGUCCAGACUCCUACGGGAGGCAGCAGUGGGGAAUAUUGGACAAUGGGCGAAAGCCUGAUCCAGCCAUGCCGCGUGUGUGAAGAAGGUCUUCGGUUUGUAAAGCACUUUAAGUUGGGAGGAAGGGCAGUAAGUUAAUACCUUGCUGUUUUGACGUUACCAACAGAAUAAGCACCGGCUAACUUCGUG
Molecule: ribosomal RNA, 484 nt
Filed under: uncultured bacterium
Lineage: Bacteria
Description: partial 16S ribosomal RNA
Rfam family: Bacterial small subunit ribosomal RNA
Source: RNAcentral